Molecule: long non-coding RNA, 216 nt
Organism: Sphaerodactylus townsendi
Lineage: Eukaryota; Metazoa; Chordata; Lepidosauria; Squamata; Sphaerodactylidae
Exons: 3
Source: RefSeq, a predicted model, not a curated record
GUCGCUCUCCCUUCUGUUCUCGCGAGAUUUGGAUUUUCUUCCCCUUAGCCGGCCUAGGUGGAUCCAUCCUGUCACUGUACCUGGCGAUGGCCGAUCCCAAGUAUGCAGACCUGCCCGGCAUUGCCAGGAAUGAGCCUGAUGUAUAUGAAACAAGUGAUCUCCCUGAAGAUGAUCAAGCGGAGUUUGAUGCGGUUAUAAAGUUAUAACAACCACCAC